GCCGGGUGCGGUGGCGCGCGCCUGUAAUCCAAGCUACCGGGAGGCUGAGGCUGGCGGAUCGUUUGAGCUCAGGAGCUCUGAGCUGCAGCGGACUAUGCCGAUCGGGCGUCCGCACUAAGUUCGGCAUCGAUAUGGUGCUCCUGGGGGAGCCCGGGACUACCAGGUCGUCUAAGGAGGGGUGCACCGGCCCAGGUCGGGAACGGAGCAGGUCAAAGCCCCCGUGCCGCUCARUAGUGGGAUCGCGCCUGUGAAUAGACGCUGCAGUGCAGCCUGAGCAACACRGCGAGACCCAGUCUUUU
Amphilophus citrinellus (Midas cichlid) is the source of this 299-nucleotide unclassified non-coding RNA. It matches the Rfam family "Metazoan signal recognition particle RNA". From Rfam's summary of the family: The signal recognition particle (SRP) is a universally conserved ribonucleoprotein. It is involved in the co-translational targeting of proteins to membranes. Lineage: Eukaryota; Metazoa; Chordata; Actinopteri; Cichliformes; Cichlidae. The record is from Ensembl.